This is a long non-coding RNA of Arabidopsis lyrata subsp. lyrata, 759 nucleotides long. RefSeq lists it as uncharacterized. The record is from RefSeq and is a predicted model, not a curated record. The transcript is spliced from 2 exons. Lineage: Eukaryota; Viridiplantae; Streptophyta; Magnoliopsida; Brassicales; Brassicaceae.
UUCACUAUUGUUUUCUUACCUUUGUCGAGACCAAUUUCUUUCUUUUAAAUUGGGAAACAAAAUCCCACGAUCUCCUCUUUGCAUUCCACGAUCCCCAAAUUUAACUUCCUACUCUCAUCAGUUUCAUCAAAUCACCAUGUAUAUAUAUCACACAAUGACACAAUCGAUUAUCACAAUUGUUUCUCCCUUCACUUUAUCCAAAUCACCAUAAAAAAUUAUUGUUACUAUUAUAGAACUGUCUUUCCUGCUCGACAGCCGAACAUGAUCCCUUAACACCAAAUUCUUAUUUCAUCCUCACAGUUCAUUCAUUCCAACUUUCCACCUCUGGUCGUCUUCCUCCUCCUCUCAUAAGCAACAAGUUAGACAUAAGAGCUCCCGGAGAAAGUGAUAGUUGAAAACAAGGUUCUCAAACAUGUGUAUCAAGCCACUGAAUCUCCCGACUGACCAUAAGAUCUCAAAUUGUUUCGCCACCACAUCUCUAAUUAGAAACUCGCUAAGGGUGGCGUUUCACCACGUACAACAAAAAGCUAACGUCGAUACAUAUCUACGGCAUUCUGAAAAGCAUUGUGGUGAUUUAAAACUUAUAGGCCAUUGUUGAUUCUUGUGAUAGGACCAUUGAAUGUUUGGUAUCACAUAAUUUUUUAAUUAGCGUUCAGUACGAUUGAGGUUGAUCAUUGUUGAGAAGUUAUUAGUUAUUGAAAUUGUACGUUGAAUAAUUUCCUUCAAUCUCUUUAAUGUUAAAUUUUGAUCAUAUAUGUA